UUUUAAGCUACUAAGGGCUUGCGGUGGAUGCCUUGGCACCAAGAAGCGAAGAAGGACGCGGAUAACUGCGAUAAGCCUCGGUAAGCCGUAACAGGCGUUAAAGCCGGGGGUCUCCGAAUGGGGCAACCCACCAAUUUAUUGGUAUCCUGUGAUGAAUUCAUAGUUACAGGAAGCAAACCAGGGGAAGUGAAACAUCUCAGUACCCUGAGGAAAAGAAAUCAAUCGAGACUCCGCUAGUAGUGGCGAGCGAAAGCGGAUCAGCCCAAACCUCGUUCAAGAAAUUGAAUGGGGGGUUGUGGGACUUCAAUGUGAGACUCGAGAGUCUAGUAGAACGUUCUGGAAAGUUCGGCCAAAGAAGGUGACAGCCCUGUAAACGAAAGACUCAAAAGCUCUAGAAGUAUCCCGAGUACCACCGGACACGUGUAAUCCGCUGGGAAUCCGGGGCGACCACGCUCCAAGGCUAAGUAUUACUUGGUGACCGAUAGCGCAUAGUACCGUGAGGGAAAGGUGAAAAGAACCCCGAGCAGGGGAGUGAAAUAGAUUCUGAAACCGCAAGCCUACAAGCAGUGGGAGCACUAUGUGUCUGACACAUGUGUUACCGCGUACCUUUUGCAUAAUGAGCCAGCGAGUUAUUUUUGCGUGCAAGGUUAAGCCGUAGCAGGUGUAGCCGUAGCGAAAGCGAGUCUGAAAUGGGCGUUUAGUACGUAGAGAUAGACCCGAAACCCGGUGAUCUAUCCAUGGCCAGGGUGAAGCGCGGGUAAUACCGCGUGGAGGCCCGAACAAGUGGAAGUUGAAAAUUCCUUUGAUGAGCUGUGGAUAGGGGUGAAAGGCCAAUCAAACCGGGUGAUAGCUGGUUCUCUCCGAAAUAUAUUUAGGUAUAGCGUCGAGUAAAUUUUAUCGUGGAGGUAGAGCACUGAAUGGGCUAGGGGUCUUUACCAGAUUACCAAACCCAACCAAACUCCGAAUGCCAUUGAUAAUUACCUCGGCAGGCAGUCACUGGGUGAUAAGGUCCAGUGACGAGAGGGAAAGAGCCCAGACCGUCAGCUAAGGUCCCAAAAUGCAUGCUAAGUGGAGAACGUUGUGGAGUUACUGAGACAACCAGGAGGUUGGCUUAGAAGCAGCAAUCCUUUAAAGAAAGCGUAAUAGCUCACUGGUCUAGUGACUCUGCGCGGAAAAUAUAACGGGGCUCAAGCAUGUUACCGAAGCUACGGAUGUUCAGAAAUUUUUCUGAACGUGGUAGGAGAGCGUUCUAGUGUAGGCUGAAGGUCAAUCGUGAGGAUGGCUGGACGAACUAGAAGUGAUCAUGUUGGCGUAAGUAGCGUUCAAAUACAGGUGAAAAACCUGUACGCCGUAAACUCAAGGGUUCCAGGGCAAGGAUAAUCCUCCUAUGGGUUAGUCGAGACCUAAGAUGAGGCCAUAUGGCGUAAUCGAUGGAAACACGGUUAAUAUUCCGUGACUGCUAAUAGCGUAGCGCAGGAGGGACGGAGUAGGAUAGCUCGGGCCUUUAUUGGUUCUGGGUUCAAAGCUGUAGGUGGUCGUGUAGGCAAAUCCGCACGGCAACACUGAGGCCGAGAAAAUGGGUCUUUUGACCUAAAUUUGAGCAAUUCCAUGCUUCCAAGAAAAGCUUCGGCGUGUUUUCUAUUAGUACUCGUACCGUAAACCGACUCAGGUGAGUGGGAUGAAUAUUCUCAGGCGAUUGGGUUAAAUCUGCUUAAGGAACUCGGCAACUUAACACCGUAACUUCGGGAUAAGGUGUGCCUAACCUCGUUAGGGGUGGCCGCAGAGAAAUGGGAGUAGCGACUGUUUAUCAAAAACACAGAUAUGUGCUAAGUCACAAGACGACGUAUACAUAUUGACGCCUGCCCGGUGCUGGAAGGUUAAGAGGAGUGGUUAGCGUAAGCGAAGCCGCGAAUCGAAGCCCCAGUAAACGGCGGCCGUAACUAUAACGGUCCUAAGGUAGCGAAAUUCCUUGUCGGGUAAGUUCCGACCUGCACGAAUGGCGUAACGACUUCUCCGGUGUCUCAAGCAGAUGCCCAGCGAAUUCGAAUUCUCGGUGAAAAUGCCGGGUACCCGCAGAAAGACGGAAAGACCCCGUGAACCUUUACUGUAGCUUGGCAGUGAACUUAGAGACUCUAUGUGUAGGAUAGGUGGGAGCCUUUGAAGCCUGGCCGCUAGGUCAGGUGGAGGCAACCUUGAAAUACCACCCUUAGUGUCUUUGAGUUCUAACCUGCGGCCUAACCGGCCGAGGGACACUGUCUGGUGGGCAGUUUGACUGGGGCGGUCGCCUCCCAAAGAGUAACGGAGGCGUACGAAGGUCCGCUCAGCCUGAAUGGAAACCAGGCGUCGAGUGCAUUGGCAUAAGCGGGCUUAACUGCGAGACAAACAAGUCGAGCAGGUGCGAAAGCAGGUCAAAGUGAUCCGGUGGUCCCGCGUGGAAGGGCCAUCGCUCAACGGAUAAAAGGUACUCCGGGGAUAACAGGCUUAUCUCCCCCAAGAGUUCACAUCGACGGGGAGGUUUGGCACCUCGAUGUCGGCUCAUCACAUCCUGGGGCUGGAGCAGGUCCCAAGGGUUUGGCUGUUCGCCAAUUAAAGUGGUACGCGAGCUGGGUUCAGAACGUCGUGAGACAGUUUGGUCCUUAUCUUCUGUGGGCGGAGGAAAUUUGAGGAGACCUGUCCUUAGUACGAGAGGACCGGGAUGGACGAACCUCUGGUGUUCCAGUUGUCGUGCCAACGGCACAGCUGGGUAGCUACGUUCGGAAUGGAUAACCGCUGAAAGCAUCUAAGCGGGAAGCCAACUCCAAGAUGAGAUUUCCCUAAGCUUCGGCUUCUAAAGACUCCUGGGAGACUACCAGGUUGAUAGGCGGAAGGUGUACGCAGAGUAAUCUGCUCAGCUGAUCCGUACUAAUAGUCGUGCGGCUUUUUUUA
Molecule: ribosomal RNA, 2925 nt
Filed under: Deltaproteobacteria bacterium
Lineage: Bacteria; Pseudomonadati; Myxococcota; Myxococcia
Description: 23S ribosomal RNA
Rfam family: Bacterial large subunit ribosomal RNA
Source: RNAcentral